Manis javanica (Malayan pangolin) is the source of this 608-nucleotide non-coding RNA. Lineage: Eukaryota; Metazoa; Chordata; Mammalia; Pholidota; Manidae. The record is from RefSeq and is a predicted model, not a curated record.
ACAUGGUCAGCUGCAGAUUCGCGUUGGUUCUAGAACUGCCAGCAGUUGCGACUUCUGACUGUGGUGGUUUCCUGUUUGAAACAGAGGUGGUGCGGCUCUAGAGGGGGCAGCUUCCUGAUUUCAAGAGUAUUGAAGAGACAGCAGCUACCACGGCAGCACCAUUGUUAGGCGUGGCAUUAGAGGUUGCUCCAGAAAGUUCCACCUGGAUUCUGUGUCCUCAGCCUCUUGACAAUUCUGCCCUCGGAGACUCCUGAUGUUGAGAACUGCAUGUCCAUUCCAACCUGCCCAUUCCCAGGGCGGAUCCUCAGUGAGGCUGCUGGGGCAAGAGACCCACCCAAGGACCCAGGGAGGAGUCGGAGCUGAAGAACCAGGACUAGACCCCAAGGCUGGACUUGGCCCGACACACGGGAGCUGUGGUGCGGCUGUGGGCUCCUCACCAUCACUGCUCCUCUCCAAACGGGCUGGAAGAUGUUUGAAGAUGCCAUGUCUGGGGCUGGUGCAGCUGUACUGAGAAAAUGAGGAGACCCAACUAAAAUGCUGGGAAUGACAUAGAGGAAAAGCAGAAAGACCUGGUAUUUGAUGCCAUUCAGCAGUUGAAUUAAACUAUU